This 253-nucleotide ribosomal RNA is filed under the name uncultured bacterium. Its description in RNAcentral is "partial 16S ribosomal RNA". It matches the Rfam family "Bacterial small subunit ribosomal RNA", at positions 524 to 776 of the family's 1533-position model. The record is from RNAcentral.
UCCGUAGGGUGCAAGCGUUAAUCAGAGUUACUGGGCGUAAAGAGUGCGUAGGCGGCUAUGUCAGACAGAUGUGAAAUCCCUGGGCUUAACCUAGGAACUGCAUUUGUGACUGCAUGGCUAGAGUGUGGUAGAGGGAGAUGGAAUUCCGCAUGUAGCAGUGAAAUGCGUAGAUAUGCGGAGGAACACCAAUGGCGAAGGCAAUCUCCUGGACCUGCACUGACGCUCAUGCACGAAAGCGUGGGGAGCAAACAGG